This 253-nucleotide ribosomal RNA is filed under the name uncultured bacterium. RNAcentral's name for it is "partial 16S ribosomal RNA". It matches the Rfam family "Bacterial small subunit ribosomal RNA", at positions 524 to 776 of the family's 1533-position model. The record is from RNAcentral.
GACAGAGGGUGCAAACGUUGUUCGGAAUUACUGGGCGUAAAGCGCGUGUAGGCGGCUAUGCAAGUCGGGCGUGAAAUCCCACGGCUCAACCGUGGAAGUGCACUCGAAACUGCGUAGCUAGAGUCCUGGAGAGGAAGGUGGAAUGCUUGGUGUAGAGGUGAAAUUCGUAGAUAUCAAGCGGAACACCGGUGGCGAAGGCGGCCUUCUGGGCAGUGACUGACGCUGAGACGCGAAAGCGUGGGGAGCAAACAGG